GAUGAACGCUGGCGGCGUGCCUAAUACAUGCAAGUCGAGCGAACAGACGAGGAGCUUGCUCCUCUGACGUUAGCGGCGGACGGGUGAGUAACACGUGGAUAACCUACCUAUAAGACUGGGAUAACUUCGGGAAACCGGAGCUAAUACCGGAUAAUAUAUUGAACCGCAUGGUUCAAUAGUGAAAGACGGUUUUGCUGUCACUUAUAGAUGGAUCCGCGCCGCAUUAGCUAGUUGGUAAGGUAACGGCUUACCAAGGCAACGAUGCGUAGCCGACCUGAGAGGGUGAUCGGCCACAACGGAACCGAGAAAAGGUUCCGAAUCCUAAGGGGGGCCGCAGUAGGGAAACUUACGCAAUGGGCGAAAACCUGGAGGAGCAAAGGCGCGUGAGUGAUGAAGGUCCUCGGAACGGAAAACCCUGUUAUUAGGGAAGAACAAAUGUGUAAGUAACUAUGCACGUCUUGACGGUACCUAAUCAGAAAGCCACGGCUAACUACGUG
Molecule: ribosomal RNA, 497 nt
Filed under: uncultured bacterium
Lineage: Bacteria
Description: partial 16S ribosomal RNA
Rfam family: Bacterial small subunit ribosomal RNA
Source: RNAcentral